GUGGCGCAGCCUGGAAGCGCACCUGCAUGGGGUGCAGGGGGUCGCUGGUUCAAAUCCAGUC
RNAcentral lists this transfer RNA (61 nucleotides) under Chloroflexota bacterium. Its description in RNAcentral is "Chloroflexi bacterium tRNA-Pro". It matches the Rfam family "tRNA", at positions 7 to 64 of the family's 71-position model. From Rfam's summary of the family: Transfer RNA (tRNA) molecules are approximately 80 nucleotides in length. Their secondary structure includes four short double-helical elements and three loops (D, anti-codon, and T loops). Lineage: Bacteria; Bacillati; Chloroflexota. The record is from RNAcentral.